GUCGAGGAAUUAUCGCUAUCAUCAUCCAGUAUUUCAGUCGCAACAGAAGAUGGGGAGCUAACGGAAGAUGAGGAAAUGAAUAUUGAGUGGGAACUUUCAAUGGCCAUUAACAAUCAUAAUUUUUCAAUUGAGGAUUCUUAUAUGUUUGAUGUUGAUGAUGAUCAUACAUUUUUGGAACAAUUGGUGGAUAGUGACAUUCAUGAGAGGGGAAGUCCACCAGCUGCAAAAAGAGCUGUUGAAAACCUUCCUCUGGUAUGCUUGGGAAAGGAGGAUUUUGUGGUUUGUGCUAUUUGCAAGGAUGAGGUGAAGGAGGGGGAGAUGGUAAAUAAGUUGCCUUGUUGCCAUUAUUAUCAUGGAGAGUGUAUUGUGCCUUGGUUGAGGAUAAAGAAUACUUGUCCUGUUUGUCGACAUGAGUUGCCCACUGAUGAUCAGGACAAUGAGAGCAGGAACAGUAGGAGAAGGAGACUGAGAGGUGCAGGUGGGAUUUCCAUCGAUUCAACAGAGGGGUAGAAGUUUGAAAUGUUUGCUUAUUUUAGGAUUUGAAACUUUGUGAAUAGUGUUUCCUUUCAGUUCAUAUUAAUCUAUGUAUAGGUUAUAUAUUUAUAAUGCAUUCAAUGUUUGCUAGAAUGCAUUCCGUUGACUGAAUUAUCUUUAAGCUGAGUUAUAUUGAUAAUUGCAUAUG
RNAcentral lists this unclassified non-coding RNA (682 nucleotides) under Hevea brasiliensis (rubber tree). Lineage: Eukaryota; Viridiplantae; Streptophyta; Magnoliopsida; Malpighiales; Euphorbiaceae. The record is from RNAcentral.